Molecule: transfer RNA, 74 nt
Filed under: Candidatus Amesbacteria bacterium RIFCSPHIGHO2_01_FULL_48_32b
Lineage: Bacteria; Candidatus Amesiibacteriota
Also listed under: 1 other name
Description: tRNA-Ala
Rfam family: tRNA
About the family: Transfer RNA (tRNA) molecules are approximately 80 nucleotides in length.
Source: RNAcentral
GGGCCCAUAGGUAAACGGUAUACCGCGUCGUUCGCAUCGACGAGUUCGGAGUUCAAUUCUCCGUGGGUCCACAA